AACGAACGCUGGCGGCAUGCCUAACACAUGCAAGUCGAACGAGACCUUCGGGUCUAGUGGCGCACGGGUGCGUAACGCGUGGGAACCUGCCCUUAGGUUCGGAAUAACUCCCCGAAAGGGGUGCUAAUACCGGAUAAUGUCUUCGGACCAAAGAUUUAUCGCCUUUGGAUGGGCCCGCGUUGGAUUAGCUAGUUGGUAGGGUAAAAGCCUACCAAGGCGACGAUCCAUAGCUGGUCUGAGAGGAUGAUCAGCCACACUGGAACUGAGACACGGUCCAGACUCUUACGGAAGGGCGCAGUGGGGAAGCGUGGACAAUGGGCGCAAGCCUGGUACAGCCAUACCGCGUGGGUUAAGAAGGCCCUCGGGUUGGAAAGCCCUUUUAUUGGUAAAGAAAAGCAGCCGGUUAAUACCCCGCUGUUCUGACGGUACUGAAAGAAUAAGCACCGGCUAACUUCGUG
This 458-nucleotide ribosomal RNA is filed under the name uncultured bacterium. RNAcentral's name for it is "partial 16S ribosomal RNA". It matches the Rfam family "Bacterial small subunit ribosomal RNA", at positions 29 to 507 of the family's 1533-position model. The record is from RNAcentral.